RNAcentral lists this ribosomal RNA (424 nucleotides) under uncultured bacterium. RNAcentral describes it as "bacterial SSU rRNA". It matches the Rfam family "Bacterial small subunit ribosomal RNA", at positions 355 to 776 of the family's 1533-position model. The record is from RNAcentral.
UAAGGAAUAUUGGUCAAUGGACGCAAGUCUGAACCAGCCAUGCCGCGUGAAGGAUGAAGGUCCUCUGGAUUGUAAACUUCUUUUAUCUGGGACGAAACACUCUGAUUCUUCAGAGCUUGACGGUACCAGAGGAAUAAGCACCGGCUAACUCCGUGCCAGCAGCCGCGGUAAUACGGAGGGUGCAAGCGUUAUCCGGAUUCACUGGGUUUAAAGGGUGCGUAGGUGGGUUUGUAAGUCAGUGGUGAAAUCUCCGUGCUUAACAUGGAAACUGCCAUUGAUACUACUGGUCUUGAAUUAUCUGGAGGAUAGCGGAAUAUGUCAUGUAGCGGUGAAAUGCUUAGAUAUGACAUAGAACACCAAUUGCGAAGGCAGCUAUCUACAGGUUGAUUGACACUGAGGCACGAAAGCGUGGGGAUCAAACAGG